GACGAGGGGUCCAAGCGUUGCUCGGAAUCACUGGGCGUAAAGCGCACGUAGGCGGACUCUUAAGUCGGUGGUGAAAUCCUGGAGCUCAACUCCAGAACUGCCUUCGAUACUGAGAGUCUCGAGUCCGAGAGAGGUGAGUGGAACUGCGAGUGUAGAGGUGAAAUUCGUAGAUAUUCGCAAGAACACCAGUGGCGAAGGCGGCUCACUGGCUCGGUACUGACGCUGAGGUGCGAAAGCGUGGGGAGCAAACAGG
RNAcentral lists this ribosomal RNA (253 nucleotides) under uncultured bacterium. RNAcentral describes it as "partial 16S ribosomal RNA". It matches the Rfam family "Bacterial small subunit ribosomal RNA", at positions 524 to 776 of the family's 1533-position model. The record is from RNAcentral.